ACCUCCGCAAUACACGAAAGUGUGACGGGGUUACCCAAAGUGUUCAUUUCUGAACUGUGGUAGGUGAGUAAUGUCCCCUACUAGAAAGGAGAGGGCAAGGCUGGUGCCAGCCGCCGCGGUAAAACCAGCUCUUCAAGUGGUCGGGAUAAUUAUUGGGCUUAAAGUGUCCGUAGCCUGUUUAGUAAGUUCUUGGUAAAAUCGGGUAGCUUAACUAUCCGCGUGCUAGGAAUACUGCUAUACUAGAGGGCGGGAGAGGUCUGAGGUACUACAGGGGUAGGGGUGAAAUCUUAUAAUCCUUGUAGGACCACCAGUGGCGAAGGCGUCAGACUGGAACGCGCCUGACGGUGAGGGACGAAAGCCAGGGGAGCGAACCGGAUUAGAUACCCGGGUAGUCCUGGCCGUAAACGAUGCAUACUAGGUGAUGGCACGGCCAUGAGCCGUGUCGGUGCCGUAGGGAAACCGUUAAGUGUGCCGCCUGGGAAGUACGGUCGCAAGGCUAAAACUUAAAGGAAUUGGCGGGGGAGCACCACAAGGGGUGAAGCCUGCGGUUC
Molecule: ribosomal RNA, 551 nt
Filed under: uncultured archaeon
Lineage: Archaea
Description: bacterial SSU rRNA
Rfam family: Archaeal small subunit ribosomal RNA
Source: RNAcentral